Molecule: ribosomal RNA, 504 nt
Filed under: Salmonella enterica subsp. enterica serovar Enteritidis
Lineage: Bacteria; Pseudomonadati; Pseudomonadota; Gammaproteobacteria; Enterobacterales; Enterobacteriaceae
Description: partial 23S ribosomal RNA
Rfam family: Bacterial large subunit ribosomal RNA
Source: RNAcentral
AUGCACCGAAGCUGCGGCAGCGAUAUGUAAAUAUUGUUGGGUAGGGGAGCGUUCUGUAAGCCUGUGAAGGUGUACUGUGAGGUAUGCUGGAGGUAUCAGAAGUGCGAAUGCUGACAUAAGUAACGAUAAUGCGGGUGAAAAACCCGCACGCCGGAAGACCAAGGGUUCCUGUCCAACGUUAAUCGGGGCAGGGUGAGUCGACCCCUAAGGCGAGGCAGAAAUGCGUAGUCGAUGGGCAACGGGUUAAUAUUCCCGUACUGGUGAUAAUUGCGAUGGGGGGACGGAGAAGGUUAGGCUGGCCGGGCGACGGUUGUCCCGGUUUAAGGAUGUAGGCAGGUGAAUUAGGCAAAUCCGGUUCACUAUAUGCUGAGGUCUGAUGACGAGUCACUACGGUGGCGAAGUAGCUGAUACCCUGCUUCCAGGAAAAGCCUCUAAGCUCUAGAUUAUCAUUAAUCGUACCCCAAACCGACACAGGUGGUCAGGUAGAGAAUACUCAGGCGCUUG